CCCACCCCCCGCCCUCCUCCCCUUCCACCACCCCUAGUUCGUUUCCCAGAGUUAGGAGUCUUUAUGUGCUGUCUCCCUUUCUGAUAUUUCCCACACAUUUCUUCCCCCUUCCCUUAUAUUCCCUUUCACUAUUAUUUAUAUUCCCCAAAUGAAUGAGAACAUAUAAUGUUUGUCCUUCUCCGAUUGACUUAUUUCACUCAGCAUAAUACCCUCCAGUUCCAUCCACGUUGAAGCAAAUGGUGGGUAUUUGUCAUUUCUAAUGGCUGAGUAAUAUUCCAUUGUAUACAUAAACCACAGCUUCUUUAUCCAUUCCAUCUUUCGAUGGACACCGAGGCUCCUUCCACAUUUGGCUAUCGUGGCCUUGCUGCCAUAAACAUCGGGGUGCAGGUGUCCCAGCGUUUCAUUGCAUUUGUAUCUUUGGGGUAAAUCCCCAACAGGCAAUUGCUGGGUCAUAGGCAGGUAUAUUUUUAACUGUUUGGAACCUCCACACAGUUUUCCCACAUGGCUGCACCAGUUCACAUUCCCCCAACAGUGUAAGAGGGUUCCCUUUUCCUCCACAUCCUCUCCAACAUUUGUUGUUUCCUGCCUUGUUAAUUUCCCAUUCUCACUGGUGUGAGGUGGUAUCUCAUUGUGGUUUGAUUUGUAUUUCCCUGAUGGCAAGUGAUGCAGGCAUUUUCUCAUGUGCAUGUUGGCCAUGUCUAUGUCUUUUUCUGUGAGAUUUCUGUUCAUGUCUUUUGCCCAUUUCUGAUUGGAUUGUUGUUUCUUUGGUGUUGAGUUUAAUAAGUUCUUUAGAUCUUGGAAACUAGCCCUUUAUCUGAUAUGUCAUUUGCAAAUAUCUUCUCCCAUUCUGUAGGUUGUCUUUGAGUUUUGUUGACUGUAUCCUUUGCUGUGCAAAAGCUUCUUAUCUUGAUGAAGUCCCAAUAGUUCAUUUUUGCUUUUGUUUCUUUGCCUUCGUGGAUGUAUCUGCAAGAAGUUACUAUGGCCGAGUUCAAAAAGGGUGUUGCCUGUGUUCUUCUCUAGGAUUUGGAUGAAUCUUGUCUCACAUUAGAUCUUUCAUCCAUUUUGAGUUUAUCUUUGUGUAUGGUGAAAGAGAGUGGGUCUAGUUUCAUUCUUCUGCAUGUGGAUGUCCAAUUUUCCCAGCACCAUUUAUUGAAGAGACUGUCUUUCUUCCAUGGAUAGUCUUUCCUCCUUUAUCGAAUAUUAGUUGCCCAUAAGUUCAGGGUCCACUUCUGGAUUCUCUAUUCUGUUCCACUGAUCUAUGUGUCUGUUUUUGUGCCGUACCACACUGUCUUGAUGACCACAGCUUUGUAGUACAACCUGAAAUCUGGCAUUUGAUGCCCCCAGAUAUGGUUUUCUUUUUUAAAAUUCCCUGGCUAUUCGGGUCUUUUCUGAUUCCACACAAAUCUUAAAUAAUUUGUUCUAACUCUCUGAAGAAAGUCCAUGGUAUUUGAUAGGAUUGCAUUAAACGUGUAUAUUGCCCUGGGUAACAUUGACAUUUCACAAUAUUAAUUCUGCCAAUCCAUAGCAUGGAAUAUUUUUCCAUCUCUUGUGUCUUCCUCAAUUUCUUUCAGAAGUGUUCUAUAGUUUUGAGGGUAUAGAUCUCUUUACAUCUUUGGUGAGGUUUUUCCUAGGUAUCUAUGUCUUUUGGGUGCAAUUGUAAAUGGGAUUGACUCCUUAAUUUCUCUUUCUUCGUCUCAUGUUAUGUAUAGAAUGCCACUGACUUCUGCAUGUGAUUUUGUAUCCUGCCACGCUACCGAAUGCUGUAGAGUCUAGCAAUCUUGGGGUGGAACUUUUGGGUUUCUAUGGUAGAGUAUCAGUCAUCCGAGAGGAGAGUUUGACUUCUUCUUUGCCAUUUGAAUGCCUUUAUGUCUUUUUGUUUCUGAUUGCUGAGGCUAGGACUUCCAGUACUAUGUUGAAUAGCAGUGGUGAGAGUGGACAUCCCUGUCUUGUUCCUGAUCUUAGGGAGGCUCCCAGUGCUUCCCCAUUGAGAAUAUAUUUGCUGUGGUUUUUCAUAGAUGCUUUAAAUGUCGAGGAAUGUUCCCUCUAUCCCUACACUCUGAAGAGUUUUGAUCAGGAAUGGAUGCUGUAUUUGUCAAAUGCUUUCUCGCAUCCAAUGAGAGGAUCAUAUGGUUCUUGGUUUUUCUCUUGCUGAAUGAUGAAUCACAUUGAUUGUUUUACGGGUGUUGAACCAGCCUUGUGUCCCAGGGAUAAUCCUACUUGGUCAUGGUGAAUAAUUUUCUUAAUGUACUGUUGGAUCCUAUUGGCCAGUAUCUUGUUGAGAAUUUUUGCAUCCAUGUUCAUCAGGGAUAUUGGUCUGUAUUCUCCUUUUUGGCGGGGUCUUUGCUGGCUUUGGAAUUAAGGUGAUGCUGGCUUCAUAAACGAAUUUGGAAGUACUCCAUCUCUUUCUAUCUUUCCAAACAGCUUAGGAGAAUAGGUAUGAUUCUUCUUUAAACGUUUGAUAAAUUCUCCUGGGAAGCCAUCUGGCCCUGGACCUUGUGUCUGGAGGUUUUUAUGACUGCUUCAAUUCCUCCCUGGUAUUGCCUGUUCAGGUUUUCUAUUUCUUCCUGUUCCAGUUUUGGUAGUUUGUGGCUUCCAGAAUGCGUCCUUUCUUCUAGAUUGCCUAAUUUAUUGGCGUAUAGCUGUUCAUAAUAGGUUUUUAAAUCGUUUGUGAUUUCCUUGGUGUUGGUAGUGAUCUCUCCCUUUCUCAUUCAUGAUUUAUUAAUUUGAGUCUUCUCUCUCUUCUUUUUAAUAAGGCUGGCUUGGUUUUAUCUCUUAUAAUUCUUUCAAAGAACCAACUCCUGGUUCUGUUGAUCGUUCCACAGUUCUUCUGGUCUCGAUUUCGUUGAUUUCUGCUCGAAUCUUUAUGACUCCCUUCUUCUCUUGGGUUGUAGGAUCUAUUUGCUGUUUUUCUCUAGCUCCUUUAUGUGUAAGGUUAGCUUUUGUAUUGAGUUCUUUCCAGUUUUUGAAUGGAUGCUUGUAUUGCGAUGUAUUUCCCCCUUAGGACUGCUUUUGCUGCAUCCCAAAGAUUUGAACGGUUGUAUCUUCAUCUCAUUAGUUUCCAUGAAUCUUUUAAUUCUUCCUUAUUUCCUGGUGACCCUUUUAUCUUUAGCAGGAUGGUCCUUAACCUCCAUGUGUUUGAGGUCCUUCCAACUUCUUGUUGUGAUUUAGUUCUAAUUUCAAGGCAUAUGGUCCGAGAAUAUGCAGGGCAAUCCCAAUCUUUGGUAUCGGUUCAGACCCGAUUUGUGACCCAAUAUGUGGUCUAUUCUGGAGAAGUUCCAUGUGCGCUUGAGAAGAAUGUGUAUUCAGUUGAGUUUGGAUGUAAAGUUCUGUAGAUAUCUGUGAAAUCCAUCUGGUCCGUGUAUCAUUUAAGCUCUCGUUUCUUGGAGAUGUUUUGCUGAAGACCUAUCGAGUAUAGAAAGAGCUAGAUUGAAGUCACCAAGUAUAAGUGUAUUAUUAUCUAAGAUUUCUUCACUUGGUUAAUAAUUGAUUUAUAUAUUUGGCAGCUCCCACAUUUGGAGCAUAUAUUUGAGGAUUGUUAAGUCCUUGUUGAAUAGAUCCUUUAAGUAGAUAUUGUCCCUCUUCACUCUCACUACAGUCUUGGGGUAAAUUUUAGUUUAUCUGAUAUAAGGAUGGCUACCCCUGCUUUCUUUUGAGGACCAUUCGAAUGGUAAAUGGUCUCCAACCUUUUAUUUUCAGGCUGUAGGUGUCCUUCUGUCUAAAAUGAGUCUCUUGUAGACAGCAAAUAGUGGUCCUGCUUUUUUAUCCAGUCUGAAACCCUGCGCCUUUUGAUGGGGUCAUUAAGCCCAUUCACUCGAGUUACUAUUGAGAGUAUGAGUUUAGUGUCAUCAUGAUAUCUAUUCAGUUCUUUGUUUUUGUGGACUGUUCCACUGAACUUCUUCUUGAGGGAAUUUUAAGAGGCCCCCUUAAAUUUCUUGCAGAGCUGGUUUGGAGGUCACAUAUUCUUUUAGUUGCUGCCUGUCUUGGAAGCUCUUAUCUCUCCUUCCAUUUUGAAUGAGAGCCUUGCUGGAUAAAGUAUUCUUGGUUGCAUGUUCUUUUCAUUUAGGACCCUGAAUAUAUCCUGCCAGCCCUUUCUGCCUGCCGGUCUCUUGAGAGUCGUCUUUACCCUAAUCCCUCCCCUAAAAGUCAGGGAUUUCUGUCUCUUGCUGCUUUAAGGAUCUUCUCCUUAUCUUUGGAAUUUGCAAGCUUCACAAUUAAAUGUCGAUGUUGAACGGUUUUUAUUGAUUUUAGGGGGGGAUCUCUCUAUUUCCUGGAUCUGAAUGCCUGUUUCCCUUCCCAGAUUAGGAAAGUUUUCAGCUAGAAUUUGUUCAAAUACAUAUUCUGGCCCUCUGUCCCUUUCGGCGCCCUCGGAACCCCAAUUAAACGUAGGUUUUUCUUCCUCAGGCUGUCGUUUAUUUCCCUUAAUCUAUCUUAUGGUCUUUUAAUUGUUUGUCUCUUUUUCCUCAGUUUCCCUCUUUGCCGUCAACUUGUCCUAGGUCACUCACUCGUUCUUCCACUCGUUAACCCUCGUCGUUAGGACUUCUAGUUUGGAUUGCAUCUCAUUCAAUUGGUUUUUAAUUUCUGCCUGAUUAGCUCUAAAUUCUGCAGUCAUGAAGUCUCUUGAGUCCUUUAUACUUUUUUCUAGAGCCACCAGUAGCUGUAUAAUAGUGCUUCGGAUUGGCUUUCUGACAUUGUUGUAAUCCAGAUUUUGUAACUCUGUGGGAGAGAGACUGUUUCUGAUUCUUCUUUCUUUUGAGGUGAGGUUUUCCUUCUAGUCAUUUUGCUCAGUGUAGAGUGCCAAAGAGCAAGUUGUAUUGGGAAAAGAGAAAAAGAGAGGAGAGAAAGAAGAAAAAAAGAAAGAGAAAAAAAAAAGAGAAAAGAAAAAAAAACGAAAAAAAAAAAAA
Molecule: long non-coding RNA, 4901 nt
Filed under: Canis lupus familiaris (dog)
Lineage: Eukaryota; Metazoa; Chordata; Mammalia; Carnivora; Canidae
Description: lncRNA (ENSCAFG00845020038.1)
Source: RNAcentral